UACGUAGGGUGCGAGCGUUGUCCGGAAUUAUUGGGCGUAAAGGGCUCGUAGGCGGUCUGUUGCGUCGGGAGUGAAAACUCAGGGCUUAACCCUGAGCCUGCUUCCGAUACGGGCAGACUAGAGGUAUGCAGGGGAGAACGGAAUUCCUGGUGUAGCGGUGAAAUGCGCAGAUAUCAGGAGGAACACCGGUGGCGAAGGCGGCCUGCUGGGCAGUUUAGCUGACACUGAGGCGCGACAGCGUGGGGAGCAAACAGG
This 255-nucleotide ribosomal RNA is filed under the name uncultured bacterium. Its description in RNAcentral is "partial 16S ribosomal RNA". It matches the Rfam family "Bacterial small subunit ribosomal RNA", at positions 524 to 776 of the family's 1533-position model. The record is from RNAcentral.